GGAGGCAGCUGGGCUGCAGCUCAGAAAGCAAUGCUCAUCUGCAAGUUGGGACAGCAGAGGCCCUUCAUUCCUCCCCAGGGCUCCCACACCUUGGGAGGGACCGUGAAGAGUGACUCUUGUCCAGUGGUUUUCAAACUGGGUUCCUCUAAGCCCUGGGGUAUUGUGCCCCAGGGACCCCUGAAGUUUGUUACUCCUGCUCUGAAGCUUUUCAGCAUUUCUUGAAAUAAUGAAUUCCAGUAACACUGAUAGCUCUUGGCCGGCCCACCAUGAAGCCCUUGAUCCCAGCCUGGCUGAGAGCAGAGACUGUUUCACACAUCACUAACUCUGCCCCAGCCUCUGGCUCAGAGCUAGUAGCAGGACAUGAAGGUUUACUGAACACCAAACAGAUGGUGAGUGCCCUGCUAAGAACUUCACAUACAUCUGCCCCCUCCAUCCUCCUCACUGUGAGGAAGUGUCAUCGUCCCCACCAGAAAAACAAGGACUGGGAGGUGUCCUGACUUGCCCAGGCAGAGACUGGGUCUUGUUCUGUCACCCAGGCUGGGGUGCAAUGGCGUGAUCUCAGCUCACUGCGACCUCCACCUCCUGGGCUCAAGUGAUUCUCAUGCCUCAGCCUCCCGAGUAGCUGGGGUUACAGAGGUGCACCACCACGCCUGGCUAAUUUUUGUAUUUUUCACAGAGACGGUGUUUCACCAGGUUGCCCAAGCUAGUCUCGAACUCCUGGCCUCAAGUGAUCUGCCCACCUUGGCCUCCCAAAGUGCUGGGAUUACAGGCAUGAGCCACUGCACCCAGCCUAAUUUACACACAUUUAAACACACGUGUAAAGGGAGGGGAGAGAAAGAGAGAGCACGUUGUGCAUGAAUCACUGCUACAGAGUCACACUCCAAUUCCACUUGGUGAGCACUCACCCCUUGAGGGGGAAUGUGACCUGCCAGGGUCCCCCCGCAGGUCCAAGUUCCUGCAUAUCCAGCCUCAUGAGGGAUCUCAUCAUGCUAAGUGUGAUCCUGCUGUUCAAAGGGUUUUUAUGUGGUGUGGCCCCAGAUACAUGCCAACCAUUUCACCUGUGGUGAGCGGAAGGCGCAGCUAUCUAUAACACCUGAGAAAAAAAGAACCUGCUGUAUUAGCUGUCAGCUGCUGGAGACCUUGCUUUCUGUUUCACUGGGAAACAGAAGCAAUCAGAAGGAAACUUCCUCAGACUCCACCUCUCCCUUCACUCCCGCCUGUAUCCGUGCCUGUUACCUGGACGCCUUGUGUGAACUCGAAUUCUACGCCCUCCACGGGGACACUGCCCUUCAUCCUCUCUCACCUCCUCCAGGACAACAAGACGGGAUUUCACCAUGUUAGCCAGGAUGGUCUCGAUCUCCUGACCUCGUGAUCCACCCGCCUCGACCUCCCAGAGUGCUGGGAUUACAGAAUGUUGUAGUCCUCAUCAUCAGCAGAGACUUUGUUUCAUCCUCUGCUGUAUUAUCCUGAAGAGUGCCUGGCUCAUGCUGCAGUGUUCUGAAUAGCAGUCCAGCUAUGAGGGGAGGUGCCCGUGGCAGGCCUCAGCUGACCCUGGAGAGGCCAUUAAGACCUGGCUGUCGCCUCCACAGCUGCUCGGAAGCAGAGAAGGGUGGCUUUGUAAGAAGAAGAAAAGAGAUGAUUCUCUUUCCACCAUGUGAGGACCCAGCAAGAGGGUGGCUGUCUGCAAGCCCAGGGAGAGAGCCCUCACCAGGAAUCUGCUGGCACCUUAAUCUUGGACUUCCCAGCCUCCACAACUGUGAGAAAUAAAUGUAUGUUGUUUAAGCCA
This 1786-nucleotide small RNA is filed under the name Pongo abelii (Sumatran orangutan). Its description in RNAcentral is "processed transcript". The record is from RNAcentral. Lineage: Eukaryota; Metazoa; Chordata; Mammalia; Primates; Hominidae.